AUCAAUUGAAUCUCAGUCUCCCUUCCUAGUCAUGGAAGAACAUAUUCUUGUUUAUUGGCAAAGCUGUCACCAUUUAAUUGGUAUCAGAUUCUGACUUGCACAAGCAUCAUUG
Rhinolophus ferrumequinum (greater horseshoe bat) is the source of this 112-nucleotide small nucleolar RNA. The record is from Ensembl. Lineage: Eukaryota; Metazoa; Chordata; Mammalia; Chiroptera; Rhinolophidae.